AUGCAGACAGAAGCAGGACGACUGAAGCUUGUGAACCAUGAACAGGGCAAUCGUGGCCGAAAGCCUGAGCCACGCCCACGACUUUCUCACCGCGCUCUCUCUCUUUCUUUCUGCCGCGCAAUAAAACUCCGGAGCAGAGCCAAUCUACCAUGUGAGGAGCUCAGGAGCAGCGUGGCAGGGUCUCCUAUAAAACCAUUUUCCCUUGCACCAUCGCUGCACUCUGCACACUGCACUGCGCCACUAUCCAAAAUAGCUCAGCUCAGCGCUGCUCCACUCGCCGCUGAACUCGGCUGGACUGGUGACACAGUUGCACGCUACCGCGCCAUGGCUCCCCUCCUCUUCAAGGACAUGAGGAGCCUCUCGUGCUCGUCGCCGGCGUCCACGGCCAUAUGCCCCAGCCUGGAGCGCCAGCCCAUCUUCCGCCCGCAGAAGGCCGGCGUCAGCCCGCUCUUCCAGGUCCCGGCCGAGCCCAGAGCCCACAGGCAGGACGGCAGGAAAGGGCAGCACCACCACCACCACCACCGGGCUGGCGUUGCCAAUGGCGAGCUCGCCAGCCCGGCCGGGUCGACAAGGUUCCUGCUCAGCGGCUGUGCCGCCGUCGAUGAGAUCCAGGAGGUCGGCACGGCUACGGCGGCGCCUCCGGCCGCUGCCCCGGGUGGUGAUGUCAGAAGAGAGGAGCCGGCUGCUGUUGAUGUGAAGAACACGAACACCAACACGCAGGAGCAGGUGGUGGUAUUGAAGGUGUCCCUGCACUGCAAAGCGUGCGCCGGCAAGGUGAAGAAGCACCUCGCCAAGAUGGAAGGUGUUCGGACGUUCAGCAUCGACUUCGCGGCGAAGAAGGUGACGGUGGUGGGGGACGUGACCCCGCUCGGCGUGCUCGCCAGCGUCUCCAAGGUCAAGAACGCCCAGAUCUGGGCCGCGCCGCUGCCGCCGCAGCCCGCCAUGGCCGCCUAG
Molecule: ribosomal RNA, 954 nt
Filed under: Triticum aestivum (bread wheat)
Lineage: Eukaryota; Viridiplantae; Streptophyta; Magnoliopsida; Poales; Poaceae
Description: partial small subunit ribosomal RNA
Source: RNAcentral